RNAcentral lists this ribosomal RNA (483 nucleotides) under uncultured bacterium. RNAcentral's name for it is "partial 16S ribosomal RNA". It matches the Rfam family "Bacterial small subunit ribosomal RNA", at positions 29 to 507 of the family's 1533-position model. The record is from RNAcentral.
UUGAACGCUGGCGGCAUGCUUUACACAUGCAAGUCGAACGGCAGCGCGGGCUUCGGCCUGGCGGCGAGUGGCGAACGGGUGAGUAAUGCAUCGGAACGUGCCCAGUAGUGGGGGAUAGCCCGGCGAAAGCCGGAUUAAUACCGCAUACGACCUGAGGGUGAAAGCGGGGGACCGAAAGGCCUCGCGCUAUUGGAGCGGCCGAUGUCGGAUUAGCUAGUUGGUGGGGUAAAGGCUUACCAAGGCGACGAUCUGUAGCUGGUCUGAGAGGACGACCAGCCACACUGGGACUGAGACACGGCCCAGACUCCUACGGGAGGCAGCAGUGGGGAAUUUUGGACAAUGGGGGCAACCCUGAUCCAGCCAUGCCGCGUGCGGGAAGAAGGCCUUCGGGUUGUAAACCGCUUUUGUUCGGGAAGAAAUCCUCUGGGCUAAUACCCCGGGGGGAUGACGGUACCGGAAGAAUAAGCACCGGCUAACUACGUG